AACGAACGCUGGCGGCAGGCUUAACACAUGCAAGUCGAACGGGCGUAGCAAUACGUCAGUGGCAGACGGGUGAGUAACGCGUGGGAACAUACCUCUUGGUUCGGAACAACACAGGGAAACUUGUGCUAAUACCGGAUAAGCCCUUACGGGGAAAGAUUUAUCGCCGAGAGAUUGGCCCGCGUCUGAUUAGCUAGUUGGUGAGGUAAGAGCUCACCAAGGCGACGAUCAGUAGCUGGUCUGAGAGGAUGAUCAGCCACACUGGGACUGAGACACGGCCCAGACUCCUACGGGAGGCAGCAGUGGGGAAUCUUGGACAAUGGGCGCAAGCCUGAUCCAGCCAUGCCGCGUGAGUGAAGAAGGCCUUCGGGUUGUAAAGCUCUUUUACCAGGGACGAUAAUGACGGUACCUGGAGAAUAAGCCCCGGCAAACUUCGUGC
RNAcentral lists this ribosomal RNA (436 nucleotides) under uncultured bacterium. RNAcentral's name for it is "bacterial SSU rRNA". It matches the Rfam family "Bacterial small subunit ribosomal RNA", at positions 29 to 508 of the family's 1533-position model. The record is from RNAcentral.